GUAUUUUUACACCUUCAAGCGUCACCCCUCGGCAAAAGAUUGGUGGUAUUUCUCCUCCCAGUUCGGCAAGAAGGGGUUGCUGAAAGAUGCUCUCUCUUCAAUCCAUAACUGGAAGGGGAAGUACCUUUUUGUCCACUGCCCGACCUUGAGGCUGGGACUGCCCCCUUGGGGCUCCCUGAGGGACUCUGUCCGUCGGACUCC
Molecule: long non-coding RNA, 201 nt
Filed under: Elaeis guineensis (African oil palm)
Lineage: Eukaryota; Viridiplantae; Streptophyta; Magnoliopsida; Arecales; Arecaceae
Description: long non-coding RNA (EGUI_LNC056135)
Source: RNAcentral